RNAcentral lists this ribosomal RNA (496 nucleotides) under uncultured bacterium. RNAcentral describes it as "partial 16S ribosomal RNA". It matches the Rfam family "Bacterial small subunit ribosomal RNA", at positions 28 to 506 of the family's 1533-position model. The record is from RNAcentral.
GAUGAACGCUGGCGGCGUGCCUAAUACAUGCAAGUCGAGCGAACGGACGAGAAGCUUGCUUCUCUGAUGUUAGCGGCGGACGGGUGAGUAACACGUGGAUAACCUACCUAUAAGACUGGGAUAACUUCGGGAAACCGGAGCUAAUACCGGAUAAUAUUUUGAACCGCAUGGUUCAAAAGUAAAAGACGGUCUUGCUGUCACUUAUAGAUGGAUCCGCGCUGCAUUAGCUAGUUGGUAAGGUAACGGCUUACCAAGGCAACGAUGCAUAGCCGACCUGAGAGGGGGAUCGGCCACACUGGAACUGAGACACGGUCCAGACUCCUACGGGAGGCAGCAGUAGGGAAUCUUCCGCAAUGGGCGAAAGCCUGACGGAGCAACGCCGCGUGAGUGAUGAAGGUCUUCGGAUCGUAAAACUCUGUUAUUAGGGAAGAACAUAUGUGUAAGUAACUGUGCACAUCUUGACGGUACCUAAGCAGAAAGCCACGGCUAACUACGU